RNAcentral lists this ribosomal RNA (103 nucleotides) under Tatumella sp. JGM130. RNAcentral describes it as "partial 23S ribosomal RNA". It matches the Rfam family "Bacterial large subunit ribosomal RNA", at positions 1 to 103 of the family's 2925-position model. The record is from RNAcentral. Lineage: Bacteria; Pseudomonadati; Pseudomonadota; Gammaproteobacteria; Enterobacterales; Erwiniaceae.
GGUUAAGCGAAUAAGCGUACACGGUGGAUGCCCUGGCAGUCAGAGGCGAUGAAGGACGUGCUAAUCUGCGAUAAGCGUCGGUAAGGUGAUAUGAACCGUUAUA